GACGAACGCUGGCGGCGUGCUUAACACAUGCAAGUCGAACGGAAAGGCCCUGCUUUUGUGGGGUGCUCGAGUGGCGAACGGGUGAGUAACACGUGAGUAACCUGCCCUUGACUUUGGGAUAACUUCAGGAAACUGGGGCUAAUACCGGAUAGGAGCUCCUGCUGCAUGGUGGGGGUUGGAAAGUUUCGGCGGUUGGGGAUGGACUCGCGGCUUAUCAGCUUGUUGGGGGGGUUGUGGCUGACCAGGGCUUUGACGGGUAGCCGGCCUGAGAGGGUGACCGGCCACAUGGGGACUGAGAUACGGCCCAGAGUCCUACGGGAGGCUGCAGUGUGGAAUAUUGCACAAUGGGCGGAAGCCUGAUGCAGCAACGCCGCGUGCGGGAUGACGGCCUUCUGGUUGUAAACCGCUUUCGCCUGUGACGAAGCGUGAGUGACGGUAAUGGGUAAAGAAGCACCGGCUAACUACGUG
RNAcentral lists this ribosomal RNA (468 nucleotides) under uncultured bacterium. RNAcentral describes it as "partial 16S ribosomal RNA". It matches the Rfam family "Bacterial small subunit ribosomal RNA", at positions 28 to 507 of the family's 1533-position model. The record is from RNAcentral.